GGCAAGAGCUCAGAUUUGAAAUCUCACCUAGUGUGCGAGUUGUAAAUUGCAGGUUGGAGUCUCGGUUUAGACGUGUGUGCAAGUCCCUUGGAACAGGGCGCCACUGAGGGUGAGAGCCCCGUAGUGUGCACGUCGAUAGCUGUGAGGCCCUUCUGACGAGUCGAGUUGUUUGGGAAUGCAGCUCUAAGUGGGUGGUAAAUUCCAUCUAAGGCUAAAUAUUGGCGAGAGACCGAUAGCGAACAAGUACUGUGAAGGAAAGAUGAAAAGCACUUUGAAAAGAGAGUGAAACAGCACGUGAAAUUGUUGAAAGGGAAGGGUAUUGGGCUCGACAUGGGAUUUACGCAUCGUUGCCUCUCGUGGGCGGCGCUCUGGGUUUUUCCUGGGCCAGCAUCGGUUUUCGUUGCAGGAUAAGGACCUUUGGAAUGUGGCUCCUCGGAGUGUUAUAGCCAUUGGUAGAUGCUGCAUAUGGGGACCGAGGGCUGCGGCGGACUUGUUUCGUCUCGGAUGCUGGCACAACGGCGCAAUACCGCCCGU
This 534-nucleotide ribosomal RNA is filed under the name Pichia nakasei. RNAcentral's name for it is "partial large subunit ribosomal RNA". It matches the Rfam family "Eukaryotic large subunit ribosomal RNA", at positions 100 to 652 of the family's 3401-position model. The record is from RNAcentral. Lineage: Eukaryota; Fungi; Ascomycota; Pichiomycetes; Pichiales; Pichiaceae.